CACGUAGUUAGCCGGGGCUUCUUAGUCAGGUACCGUCAUUUCUUUCUUCCCUGCUGAUAGAGCUUUACAUACCGAAAUACUUCUUCACUCACGCGGCGUCGCUGGAUCAGGGUUCCCCCCAUUGUCCAAUAUUCCCCACUGCUGCCUCCCGUAGGAGUUUGGGCCGCGUCUCAGUCCCAAUGUGGCCGUCCACCCUCUCAGGCCGGCUACUGAUCGUCGCCUUGGUGGGCCGUUACCCCGCCAACAAGCUAAUCAGACGCGGGUCCAUCUUAUACCACCGGAGUUUUUCACACUGGGCCAUGCAGCCCCGUGCGCUUAUGCGGUAUUAGCACCUAUUUCUAAGUGUUAUCCCCCUGUAUAAGGCAGGUUACCCACGCGUUACUCACCCGUCCGCCACUAAGAUGCCGACAUCUUGGCGCUUAGUAAACUAACCGCCUCAAAAAUGGCAUCCCCGUUCGACUUGCAUGUGUUAAGCACGCCGCCAGCGUCAUCUGAGCCAGGAUCAAACUACU
Molecule: ribosomal RNA, 512 nt
Filed under: uncultured Lachnospiraceae bacterium
Lineage: Bacteria; Bacillati; Bacillota; Clostridia; Lachnospirales; Lachnospiraceae
Description: partial 16S ribosomal RNA
Source: RNAcentral